CAGGCCUAACACAUGCAAGUCGAGCGCUCGUAGCAAUACGAGAGCGGCAGACGGGAGAGUAACACGUGGGAACGCGCCCUUCGGUUCGGAAUAACUCAGGGAAACUUGAGCUAAUACCGGAUACGCCCUAACGGGGAAAGAUUUAUACGCCGAAGGAACGGCCCGCGUCCGAUUAGCUUGUUGGUGAGGUAAUGGCGCACCAAGGCGACGAUCGGUAGCUGGGACUAAGAGGAUGAUCAGCCUACACUGGGACUGAGACACGGCCCAGACGACCUACGGGAGGCAGCAGUGGGGAAUAUUGGACAAUGGGCGCAAGCCUGAUACCAGCCAUGCCGCGUGGGUGAUGAAGGCCCUAGGGUUGUAAAGCCCUUUACAGCGGGGAAGAUAAUGACGGGAACCCGCAGAAGAAGCCCCGGCUAACUGAGUGCCAGCAGCCGCGG
RNAcentral lists this ribosomal RNA (440 nucleotides) under uncultured bacterium. RNAcentral's name for it is "bacterial SSU rRNA". It matches the Rfam family "Bacterial small subunit ribosomal RNA", at positions 43 to 520 of the family's 1533-position model. The record is from RNAcentral.